AUGGACGAGACGGCCGCGCCACAGCCCGAGGCGGUGUCGCUCCCGGAGGACGCCGUCCGCGAGAUCCUCAUCCGCGUGGAAGGCAUGGCCGCUCUCUUCUGCUGCGCCGUGACGUGCAAGAACUGGAGCCACCUCGUAGCCGAUGCCUCCUUCUUUCGUCGUCGCUGGCCCGAUGAUCACAGGGUGAGCCGCUUCCUUGCCGGGUUCUUGGCCCCAAAACGGCUCGACCGUAUGGACCCCAACUUCCGGACAGGGGAGCCCAUGUUUGCGACGUUUUUCGUCCCGACGCCACGGUCGGUGUUCGCCCGCCGCUCCCUCAUCUCCUUUUUUCCCGACGCCGACGCGUGCCUUCUCGACGGCGCCGAGCCGCUCACUGCGCGCCGCGACCUCCUUCUCGUGCGCCUGUCUCCGGACAUAGCUCCUGGCUAUAAGUACGGCAAGUCUGUCGUUCAUCUGGCUGUGUGCAAUCUGCUCAUUGGCGUGUGCGAAGUGCUUCCCCUGCUAUGCGGACAUUUGGACUUCGCCAAAAGCGGCCACGCCAUCCUAACUAGCGCAGCCUGCUCGUCGAGCGCAGAGCAAAAGUCUUUGCAACCGGUCUACUCGACCUUCUUCAAAGUGUUAAUCAUCGGCACGAUGAAUCUCGGCCCGCCCAGCCUCUACACAUUGUCAUCCAAUGAGUCAAGGUGGAGCAAGCCUAUAAAAUUAACUUUUGUCACUGCUGGGGGGAUCCAUGACUGUAAGCAUCCGGAUGCCAUUGUGUCUCGCGGUAAGGUGCAUUGGAGCGUCUGGAACAGGACAACUUACUCGGAAACCAACGAAGACCCACAACUUGCGGUCACCGCAGAUGGGACGCCCUUGGUGUUACUUCUGUCAAGACCAGGCCUUGAGCUAAAGAUCUGCAUGCAGCAGGACGAAAAGAAGAGUCAUGAUGGUGCUAUUGCCAAGGCCAGGCGGCUCACCACGCGUACUGUCGAGUUGAAACCACCUGGGCAGUUUAAAAGAAGGCCUGAGAAAAUAUACAUGAGAUUGUUAGGAGAGAAGAGUGGCGUGAUGCUACUCAAGGAUAGCUAG
Molecule: ribosomal RNA, 1071 nt
Filed under: Triticum aestivum (bread wheat)
Lineage: Eukaryota; Viridiplantae; Streptophyta; Magnoliopsida; Poales; Poaceae
Description: partial small subunit ribosomal RNA
Source: RNAcentral